CUCAAACUCCCUCAUCUCUCUCUCCCUCCCUCUCUGCAAGUGCAGAAAAACGACCAUACCACCCUCGCCGUCGGCGAGCACCACCACCACUCGCGACUCCCUGCGACGAGCGUCAUACCACGUAUUAUAGACGAAGACCCGAGCUUGGACUGCCACGUUCUUUCUUCUCUCUCUCCCAGCAGUGGCGUCGCCACUGUUCAAGAAUUUUCCCUGGCGAGUUCUCGCAGUUCCCGGCAAAGGAAUCAACGUUGAGGGAAAUUGCCCAGUUUCCGGCGAGAAAGCCGACGGCUGUCGAGCCGUUUUUCGGCCAACUCCGGCCACGGCCGAGGAAACCAAAGCUGUACUUUCAUAUCGACGAGGAUUUUUGGCAAAUCUCGGUAUAGAUGGCUACCUUUGAUGGUAUAAUUCGCAUCCUACUUUACUAUAUUUUACUUAUACUCUGACAUCACUUGUGAAAUUGAUUCAUUCCCACUCACAAGUGCACUCUUAUAUUUAGGUACUUUUAGGUUUAAAUUUAUUCACAUUUUUCACACCAAUACACUUUAUGGCUUCGUCACCCUUCAGGUGUCGGCCAACACAGCUCGAUUUGGAGUCCAGGUGGACAAUCUAGGUCGAGGUGUGUCAUGGAUAGGAAAAGAUUUAUAGGAAGGAAAGAAGAGAAAAAAUUUACACUUAUUUGGAUAAUUUUUUUUUUUAAAUUUUACUCCAUAAAAAAUUUAGGGUUGUUGGAAUCAUUGUUGGAAUCGUACGACUAGAGGCUUGCCACGUGGAUUGGACUAUCCGCUAAAUUUGCAAUUGACUGUUGUGGUGAGCCCCACACCGGGAUACUAGAGGCAUUAUCCUCUCUCCAGGUAGGUGUGGGGCAAGUGCCUUAUGCAAAAGAUAGCUACUCCUUAUUUUUUUAAUAAACAAUAACGUUAGUUGGUUAACUCUUGUAAGACGAGGGAAUCAGUGGGGAUCUCACACCAUAGUGCAGCAAAUGCAUAUCUGCACUGCCUUACUCCUUAAGCUCUUGCAAGUUUUUUUGUUCUAAGAGGAAAAAAUUGAUCUAGAGUAUUAGAAAUGCAAUUCAGAUUGCCUUAAGGGUUAUGUUUGAGUAAGCAAUUUUCAAGUUUCAAGGGAUAGAAAACAAAUGAGUAAGAAACGGACCAAAAAUUGUUGACUCAAUUUAUUCUAAUUGCAAGUAGUGAUAUUUCUUCACUUGUAAUUUAGAGGUUUUUAGUUCAAAUCUCGUAAAUGACGAGUAUUAAGUUCAAAUUUCAUAAAUGAUGAGUUUGAUACCAAUUUAUUCUUGUUCACUUGUAUUAAAAAAAAUUUGUUACAAAAAAAAAUCCCGUUCGACCGGAAGCCAAUCUCCCUCCAAAUUGCGUAUCCCUUGUAUUUUUCAGCCACUUCAUUCUAAUUCCAGUGGCAAAGUGGAAACAAACUUCGAAUCACAAACCAUGCCACAAAUCUCACAUGAAAAUCCCCACCACCCUCCUUAAAACCAAAACCAAAUCCCCUCAAAUCCAAAGUACCCCAAACAAAUCCAUGAUUUCUGCACAACAAAGCAAAAAACCAAAUCCUACAAAUUGGUCUUACAUUAUAAGGAAUCACCUCUCUCAAGGAUCAUCCGCGGAGGCGCUUCUCGUGCACACCCGAAUUCGUCGAGGCCCGUGCUUCUAUUCCGUGUAUAAAUCAUGGGAAGGAGUUGCACGCUGAGUCUAUCAAGUCUGGAAUGAAUUCUGAUGUCUUGGUUGGCACGUCACUGGUUGACAUGUAUGCGAAAUGCGGGCAAGUUUUCAAGUCCAGGGAAGCAUUUGGAAAAAAUGCAAGCUGAAGGCUUUAAGCCAGACGAAUUUACUUUUGUCAGCGUUUUAUCUGCCUGUGCUCAGUCUGGGCUGUUGGACCUUGGCAAGGAUAUGCAUACAAUGUUAGGCCACAGAAGUAUAAAGCUUUGUCAGAUUGUUCUGAAUGCACUUGUAGACAUGUACACAAUAUGCGACAUGGUUUGGGGCGCUAUGCUUGGGGCUUGCCGGAUUUAUAUGGAUAUGGAGAUGACCGAACAGGCAGUAAAGGAUGUUAGCACCCUCGAUUCAAACGUUGGAUCAGGCGAUAAUUCACAUUUAUGUGCUUCUGUCAAACAUAUAUGCUGCCUCUGAUAGAUGGGAGAAAGCUGAACGGACGAGGAUUGACAUGAUAAGCGAAGGCUUUCAAAAGACACCAACUCACGGUUCAUUUAUCCCCAGUGGCACAUAACAUGCGUAUGGUACCUCUUCUAGGUAAACCGUUUGCUCUCUGGCGGAGCAGUGGCAUACGACAUGGGGAUAUCUCCCGCCCCAGUUACUGCAGUUCAAAAUACCUUUGUUCAAA
Malus domestica (apple) is the source of this 2352-nucleotide long non-coding RNA. RefSeq lists it as uncharacterized. NCBI's taxonomy places the organism in Eukaryota, Viridiplantae, Streptophyta, Magnoliopsida, Rosales, Rosaceae. The record is from RefSeq and is a predicted model, not a curated record.